Molecule: ribosomal RNA, 230 nt
Filed under: uncultured bacterium
Lineage: Bacteria
Description: partial 16S ribosomal RNA
Rfam family: Bacterial small subunit ribosomal RNA
Source: RNAcentral
UGAGCAAUCUGCCCUUCUCAUCGGAAUAAGCGUUGGAAACGACGUCUAAUGCCGAAUACGACCUCCUUUCGCAUGAUCGGAGGUGGAAAGCUCCGGCGGAGAAGGAUGAGCUCGCGGCCUAUCAGCUAGUUGGUGAGGUAAUAGCUCACCAAGGCGAUGACGGGUAGCCGGCCUGAGAGGGUGACCGGCCACACGUGGGACUGAGACACGGCCCAGACCUCGUACGGGGA